CGGAGCAACCUUCAUCAUCAAAGC
Molecule: microRNA, 24 nt
Filed under: Callorhinchus milii (elephant shark)
Lineage: Eukaryota; Metazoa; Chordata; Chondrichthyes; Chimaeriformes; Callorhinchidae
Description: eshark_NOVEL_202
Source: RNAcentral